Long non-coding RNA from Syngnathus typhle (broad-nosed pipefish), 1364 nucleotides. RefSeq lists it as uncharacterized. The transcript is spliced from 3 exons. The record is from RefSeq and is a predicted model, not a curated record. NCBI's taxonomy places the organism in Eukaryota, Metazoa, Chordata, Actinopteri, Syngnathiformes, Syngnathidae.
UCUCCAUCAACACACGCCCUUGCCAGGAAGCCAACGUGUGCCCGUGGAAAGAACUCGAUACUCCAUUUGGUUGGUGAUUAAUUGUCUGGCUUUUGUAGUUUAUAGUUUACAACCUGACCAUUAAUCUCGUGUUUACCGCAUCUCCCCGAUUGAUGACUCACGAUCUGAAUUAUUCAGUCAUCCCUGUUUGUGCUCCAACCAGGACCAGUGAGGAAAAUGUUCCGCUGCACUGACACGACUGGAAAUCAAUGACUUGAGAAGGUGCAUCAAUGUCCGCAAAGAAAGUGGGAAACAAACACACACACACAUCCAUUUGAUUCAGCACAAGUCAAGAGGAAGUGUGUCAAAGAGAGAGAGCUUCCCGCACUUGCUGGGUGGAUGGCAAAUGGCUUUGAAAGAAUGCGCCAGUACGUGCGUCUGUCGGCAAGUGCCGCUGACUGACAGGUGCUUCUCUGCAAAUGUCGACUGUCGGACACACUCGGCGCCGAGUCGCUUGCCGUCGCACCACGAAAGGACGCCUUAAUAACACUUGGAUAAAAUUUGGGCUCUUCAUAAUCACUGCUGAUAUCUGGAUUCAUCACACACAAACGCAGAGCGAAUGAGGUUCAGCCCCCUCCACAUCCCUGGAGAGCUCAUCAAGGAUGCCCUCCACCUUCUGCUGCUCAAGUCCUUCUCAUCCUCUGCUACCUUACCCCGAAAAACAAAUGCAGCAACCUAUUUGUCGACAUGUUAGACAUUUUUGGUUAUUAGCUCUUUCAAGACGAUCUCAAGGAAGCACGUUUGUGAAUUAAAGUAGGCCAGAUAGUGCUGGAGUACACCGAUGGCGUCUGAUGAAACGCAGUGAAAUAUCCUCCGUUGCUUUCAUGAGCCACUUAUCACUUCUACCCUCCUUCAGGGUUGCACUCUUGCCGCCAGCGUCAAUUUAUAGAUUGCACGAGACACCUGAGAUGAAACAAAAGCCUGUAUGCUUUUGUUAUUCGGCUCUGUUAUGGUGCAUGGAUGUUGAAGGAUUGCAGGGGACAGAUUUGCUUCUCAAAGCCCAAAGGGAACAUUCAAAAUGGAUGUGCACAAGUGCAACAGGUUCAUUUGUUUGCUUUUUUUUUGUUGCUGACACCACAAAAUGAUUGAUGAACUGAGCCGUGAUAUAGAAUUACAAGCAAAAAAAAAUGUGCCUGCCCAGAAAUGACUCAAAAGUGAUAUAUGGGAUCAUUUUACUACUUUGGGUCAGCGAAAAGUUUGACUUUUUAAAAGCCUACUGAGGUUUUGUAUUGAUUUUCUUUUGUUUCGAGUCAUGCAUUCUAUCUGCAAGAGUGUAUAUCAUUUCUGACAACCAAUUUUCAAUUGCAGCUUUGUUCUUAUUUGAA